UCAGAAUUGUUAAAAUAUGAAGACAUAUAAUCUCGGAAUCAAGGAAAAGAUGGCAACUGAAAACCAAGUAUUCAUGUUGCUUCCCAGGAAGAUGACGGGCUGAACAAAGGAGCUGGGAAGUCAGAUGAGGAUAUUGAAGCAGGAAAAGAUGAAGUAAUGUUCAGGUGAAGUAGCUGAAGAGGGUAUAGUAUUAGAACAUGCCGUAGCUGGCUGACUCCACGCCCAUUACCCACUCUGCUACACUGGGGAGAAGAAAACAUUCAGGGAGGACAAAGUAUUGGCAUCUCGAGAUACCAUGCACUGCAUAAUGAGUGGCUAAACGUGAAAAAAAUGUAUAGGAAUCCUCUGUGGGUCCAGGCAGCUCUCCAGGGCCGCUGUCCUCCGUGCAAUGAUCCAGCAAUUCAUACAGCGUUCGCCUGCUGCUCUACCAGCUCCACACCAGACCUGGUUCUUUGACAGAGAAUGAGAAGCUCAGGUGCUGUGGAGAGGCUUUUCGCGGUUUGGCCUGAGAGUGACACAUACUGCUUCGGCUCCUGUUUCCUGGGCCAGAAGUUGUUACGUGGCUCUGCCUAACUGCAAGCGUCUGGGAAGCAGAGUCUCCCAUCUGCCCAGAAGGAAGAAGAGAGCUGGAUACUGCUGAACACUGGUAAUGGCAUGUUGUCCCAUCAUGCUUCCCAGACACCGGCAUAGUCCAGAUGGUCCGUGGUCCAAGUGAACAGAAAAAAACCCUA
This is a long non-coding RNA of Rhinopithecus roxellana (golden snub-nosed monkey), 731 nucleotides long. RefSeq lists it as uncharacterized. The record is from RefSeq and is a predicted model, not a curated record. NCBI's taxonomy places the organism in Eukaryota, Metazoa, Chordata, Mammalia, Primates, Cercopithecidae. The transcript has 3 exons.